Molecule: ribosomal RNA, 419 nt
Filed under: Bacillota bacterium
Lineage: Bacteria; Bacillati; Bacillota
Description: Firmicutes bacterium partial 16S ribosomal RNA
Rfam family: Bacterial small subunit ribosomal RNA
Source: RNAcentral
UCGAGGAUCUUCGGCAAUGGGCGCAAGCCUGACCGAGCGACGCCGCGUGCGCGAUGAAGGCCUUCGGGUUGUAAAGCGCUGUCGAGGGGGAGGAAGUCCGCCGCAAGGCGGAUUGACCUAUCCCUGGAGGAAGCACGGGCUAAGUUCGUGCCAGCAGCCGCGGUAAGACGAACCGUGCGAACGUUGUUCGGAAUCACUGGGCUUAAAGGGCGCGUAGGCGGGGGACCAAGUCCGGGGUGAAAUCUUUCGGCUCAACCGGAAAACUGCCUUGGAUACUGGUCUUCUUGAGGGAGGUAGGGGCAGGUGGAACUUCCGGUGGAGCGGUGAAAUGCGUUGAUAUCGGAAGGAACGCCGGUGGCGAAAGCGGCCUGCUGGAUCUCUUCUGACGCUGAGGCGCGAAAGCUAGGGUAGCGAACGGG